This 253-nucleotide ribosomal RNA is filed under the name uncultured bacterium. RNAcentral's name for it is "partial 16S ribosomal RNA". It matches the Rfam family "Bacterial small subunit ribosomal RNA", at positions 524 to 776 of the family's 1533-position model. The record is from RNAcentral.
UACGUAGGUGGCAAGCGUUACUCGGAAUUACUAGGCGUAAAGGGCAGGUAGGUGGUCUGAUAAGUCUGUUGUGAAAGCUCCCGGCUUAACUGGGAGAGGUCAACAGAAACUAUCAGGCUUGAGUGUGGGAGAGGAUACUGGAAUUCCCGGUGUAGCGGUGAAAUGCGCAGAGAUCGGGAGGAACACCAAUGGCGAAAGCAGGUAUCUGGACCACUACUGACACUCAGCUGCGAAAGCUAGGGGAGCAAACAGG